Molecule: ribosomal RNA, 253 nt
Filed under: uncultured bacterium
Lineage: Bacteria
Description: partial 16S ribosomal RNA
Rfam family: Bacterial small subunit ribosomal RNA
Source: RNAcentral
CACGUAGGGGACGAGCGUUGUCCGGAUUCAUUGGGCGUAAAGCGCGUGUAGGCUGCUCGGUAAGUCGGAUGUGAAAGCCCUGGGCUCAACCUAGGAAGUGCAUUCGAAACUUCCGAGCUGGAGUGCUGGAGAGGAAGGCGGAAUUCUCGGUGUAGAGGUGAAAUUCGUAGAUAUCGAGAGGAACACCGGUGGCGAAGGCGGCCUUCUGGACAGCCACUGACGCUGAGACGCGAAAGCGUGGGGAGCAAACAGG